Molecule: long non-coding RNA, 255 nt
Filed under: Vitis vinifera (wine grape)
Lineage: Eukaryota; Viridiplantae; Streptophyta; Magnoliopsida; Vitales; Vitaceae
Description: long non-coding RNA (VVIN_LNC008004)
Source: RNAcentral
GCUUAAUAAUAGGUUCACCACAAAUAUUAGAAAAUAGCAGAGGAUAAGACAGCUGAGUAGGUCUCCUAUUCUGAUGGUUAAGAGAAACAAUGUGCUGAGCUGGAAUAAGCUUGCCACUAGAAACCCACUCAGGAGCUUUGCUGAUGAUGAUGGCAUUUGCGAACUUCUUAUUCAUCUUAAAUCCCUGGGUUAAGCCAAGAGUGAUUUUUCUUCCAAACUGGGAAACUUGAUUGGGAUCAGAACAAAUGAUUUGAU